GGUCUAUUAACUCAGUUGGUUAGAGCGUGGUACUAAUAAUGCCAAGGUCACAGGUUCGACCUCUGUAUCGACCA
Molecule: transfer RNA, 74 nt
Organism: Sphaerobolus stellatus SS14
Lineage: Eukaryota; Fungi; Basidiomycota; Agaricomycetes; Geastrales; Sphaerobolaceae
Rfam family: tRNA
About the family: Transfer RNA (tRNA) molecules are approximately 80 nucleotides in length. Their secondary structure includes four short double-helical elements and three loops (D, anti-codon, and T loops).
Source: Rfam